AAGAAGAUGGUCGUGUCUGUCAUGGUAUCCUAGUUUCUUACAAAGUUGAUGUUGUCAUCAACGAUGUCAAGAAAUUCCUGUCGGAGACACAAUCGGAGAUCAUCAUUCUCGAGAUCCGAACCGAGUUCGGACACGAUGAUCCACCUGAUUUCGACAAUUAUUUGGAGAAUCAGUUGGGUGAAUAUCUAAUCCAUCAAGACGACUCUGUAUUCAACAAAACAGUGGCAGAGUUAUUGCCAAAGAGAGUAAUCUGUGUGUGGAAGCCAAGAAAAUCACCUCAGCCAAAACACGGAAGUCCAUUAUGGAGUGCAGGGUAUUUAAAGGACAAUUGGGUUGACACUGAUUUGCCUGAAACUAAAUUCGAAAGCAACAUGAAGCAUUUGUCUGAGCAGCCACCGGUGACAUCCCGGAAAUAUUUUUACAGAGUGGAGAAUACGGUGACGCCACAGGCAGAUAAUCCAGUGGUGUGUGUGAAACCGGUGACGAAUAGGAUUCGUCCAUAUUCAAGGUUGUUUAUAAAUGAAAGUAUUUCUAGAGGUUAUGGUAAUCGGUUACAAAUUUAUUCAACUGAUUUCAUUGAUGAGGAUUUUGUUGAUGCUUGUAUUGGACUUACAAAUGCAAGGAUUGAAGGCAAGCUCUGAAGUCAACGUGCCUGAAUGCAAAUGCAGUUCGAAAAUGUUGAGUAUAAGGUGAAGAUUAUCCGAGCUAGCUUCCUCCAACAACCCUAUCAAAUAUCAAUGUGCUUUCUUUGUUUCAUGAAUAUGUGAAUUAAUUAUCAGUCUGUUCGUCAUUCGAUGUACUCAGGAUCAUAUGUAUUUUGAUUAUUACUACCACUUGUUACAAGGUAAAAAUUGUUUGCUUAUGAAUUUCAGAUUAUACAUGUAGUUAAAUUGUGUGUAUAUGAAAUUAUGAAUUAAAUUCACGUUGUUUGAAAGGAUAAGUACUUUUACAUAAACACAUUGUUUACUACUUAGAUUGCUUGAAAUUCCACGUUUGAUUGGAAGAUACGUACUGUUACCUAAACCAAUUUGUUCACUCUUAGGUUGCUUGACCAGUUCAAUAGAGGCAGUUUUCUGUCAUUUUCAAACCAAAUAAGCAAAAGAAAUAUAUCUAUCAGCUAAAGCUGUCUGUCACAGUGCCAUUCACAUCUAUAAGGCCGAAAGAGGUUUAGUAUUUUAUUUUAUCUUCUCUAUAUUUUUCUUAAUUUUUUUAAGCUCUUACCUUGUAGUAAGUUUUUGUAUUCGUCUCUCCAUAUUACGACAACAAUCGUGUGAGUAAAAAUUACAUAGUCGGCCCGUCUUGAGGAUAAAUAAAGUCAUAAAAGGCACAAAGAAAUAUUUUUAUCCCUUUAGGGAUAAAUAAGAAAAGAAGAAGAAAUUAAAUUGAUAAUUCCAUAUCAAUUUUAGAAGAAAUCAUAGGCAUAUCCUUAGAAGUUAGAAUCCCAUCAUUGGCAUCACCCCUUUCAGAAGUUAGAAUCCCAUCAUUGGCAUCACCCCUUUCACACAAAAUGGAGAGAUGAAUUGAUAUAUUUAUUAAAUUUGUCGGGACUGACGGGGCUCGAACCCACAACUUCCGCCUUGACAGGGUGGUGCUCUGACCGAUUGAACUACAAUCUCGAAAAAAUUAGGUGUACAACCUAAAGUUAAUUUAGAUUCGAACCAUUUAGUUUCACAGUGUUGUAAGAGGGAGACAAAUGAUAUACUUUAUUAUUAUUAUCUAAUUUAGUAGACUCAUAGUGGGCUAAUUCAUGAAUUGAAUCAUGACUAUAUAAGCCAUUGUGAUAUUAAGAGAUUUAAUAUAGAUUGAAAGAAUUUAUCGUCCCUUCUCGUUAAUAGAUAGAUUUAAAGUGCAUAAUUUUUUCGCACCAUCUAAUUAGAUAUUAUCUAAAUUUACAAUAAUGCGUAGUUCUUCAUAUGACUAAUUAUUUCCUAUCCAAAUUUAAAAAAAAAAAAUUAUUAAAAGUCCCUAACUUAGUUCAGCCAGAUACAUCAUAUUCUUUCGGAGAGACAUCACUUAAUUUUACACAAUACAUCAUAUUCUACACGGAUACAUCUCUUAAUUUUAUAUGGAUACAUCAUUUAAUUUUAUAUGAAUACAUCAUAGUCUUCAGAUGUAUCUGAGUUUUUAAAUAAAAUCAAAAAUUUAUGUAAUUAUUUAAAAGAAUUGAAAUUUUAAAUAGUUAUAAUAAGUUAAGUUGAUGUAAUUUUCAUAAAAUCUAGAGUAAUAACCCUUGUAACUAAUCAAAUUAUAGUACAAAAAUUCUUUAAUCUAUCAAUAUUACUACUAUAUAACUCCAAUUUUGAGUGCCUGGAGGAUUCAUAUAACUCUUCCUUUAUCGUUUUUUCAUGGGCUUAGGAGAUGCACGUGACUGAACAAUACAGAUGGGCCAGCAAGCGGGGAGCCCAAAUUUAUUUGGAAAAAUUUCAAAAAUAGCAAUUAUAGAGCUUUAAUUGUAAUUUUUAUAGCAACAGUUUCAAAAUUACAAAAAAUAGCAAUAUGUAUAUUGUAUUUCAGUAAACUAUUGCUAUUUAAAUACAUAUACAAUCAGAGAUUUCCUUUCUAAUUUAAUGCUAAUCUGUUUGAGUUAAAUAAGAGAAAAAACUGUUCCUUAAUUUAUGACACGUGUUCCUUAAUUUAUGGCACUUUUAAUUUUACAGAUUCCUUUACCUUAUAAAACUCUUUUUUUAGCACAACCAUUAAAUUACAACUACUAAUUGAAAUUCAAAAAAUGUUUUCCAUAAUCAACAACUCAAAUCAAAUUCAAAAACAUUUUCCUUCAUGUUAUUUUUUUUGCUGAUCGACUAAAAUUUUGAAGAAAAUAUUAAAAAUACAAUGGUCCAAUUAUAGGUAUUGAUCAACUAACUCUAUUCUAUUUGUGGUUUUCAUAAAAUUAAAGUGUGAAAUUGCUGAAAAACUUGUAACAAAUUGUCGCAGGAUUCAAAAAUUUGAGAUCUUAUACGAAUUUUAUCAGUUCUCGUAAAAAAUGAUUUAAGCGAAUUUUUUUUUCAAUUUCAAAUUUGUUCUUGUUGUUCUGUUAUUUGAAAGUUGAGAUGCAAUUUUUAUACGUUAAAUUUGAAUUUUAGUUUAGGAUAACUAGUGUUCGACUAAAAUUUUUUUUCGUUUGUAUUCGUUUUGCAGCUUUGUAUAUACGAAUUAGUUGUUGUAUAUAGCACGUAUUUGAGAUUUAAACAAACUUGAUUCUAUUUGUGUGUUUCAUAAAAUAAAAUUACAAAAAUUACUGAAAAACUUGUAACAAAAUUGCGUAACAGUCGCAGAAUUCAAAAAUCUAAGAUCGUAUAUGAAUUUUAUCAGUUCUAAAAAAAUGAUUUGAUCAAAAAAAAAAUUAAAUUCAAAGUUAUCUGUGUCGUUAUGUAAUGUGAAAAUUGAGAUACAAUUGUUAUACGUAAAAUUUGAAUUUUAGUCGAUAAUAACUAGUAUUCGAAUAAAAGAUUUCUUUCCAUUGGAAUUAGUUUUUCAGUUUUGUAUAUACGAAUUAGUUGUUGUAUAUAGUACGUAUUUGAUAUUUAAUUUUAUUUUUACUGUUUUUGUGUUCUGGAGAUUGACAAUGGNNNNNNNNNNNNNNNNNNNNNNNNNNNNNNNNNNNNNNNNNNNNNNNNNNNNNNNNNNNNNNNNNNNNNNNNNNNNNNNNNNNNNNNNNNNNNNNNNNNNNNNNNNNNNNNNNNNNNNNNNNNNNNNNNNNNNNNNNNNNNNNNNNNNNNNNNUAUGUAUUUAUAAUAUACAUAUGCAGUACAUUUAUGUGUUCACUGGCAGUUUCAUAUAUUUCCAGCUGUAUGUAUUUAUAAUAUACAUAUGCAGUACGUUUAUGUAUUUACUGACAGUUUCAUAUGUUUCCAACUGUAUGUAUUUAUAAUAUACAUAUGCAGUAUUUUAUGUGUAAAAAUCAUGUCUUCUUAUAUGUAUUUUUUUAAUAUGCGGGACAUAUAUUUUCAUUGGCAUAUGGUGUACUAGAUUCUGAAAAUGAUGCAUCUUGGACUUGGUUCUUUGAGAAUCUGAAGGAAGCAUAUGAUGAAAGAAAACAUAUGUGCAUAGUUUUCGAUCGUAAUGCAAGUAUCAUAGAAGUUAUUGCUGAUGUGUACAAUAAUGUACCACAUUAUGUAUGUAUGUGGCGUCUAUGGGGUAAUGUGAAAAAAUUUUUAGAAAGUCACAUGAUGCAUUGUUCAUGGUAAAUCAGGAAGAGAUAUGUUCAAAAAUAAAAAUAAAAAUAAAAAUUAUUGUAGUUCAUGUGGGUUUAAAGGUCACAAUAUUCGUUAAUGUAGGAAAUACAAUAAAUGAUAAAUUGGUUGAUGUUUUUAGUCAAAAUGCAAUUGCUGAAUUUUUUCAUUAAGAAUUAUGUCAUUCUAAAUUUUGAACUUGCUAAUUUGUUAUAAUUCAAAUGUUGCAAUUAUUUUACAGAGUUUGAUUUAUUUAAUUAUAUAUAUAUAUAGAGAGAGAGAGACGUAUUUCGAAAAAAAUAUAUUUGCAUUAGACGUAAAUACAAAUGCAAACUGGAAUGAACAUAUGUAUCAAUCAUAAAUAUGUAUUUUUCAAAUUACAAAUGCAUAUCAGGAAAAAUAUACUUUCAGACUUGUAAAAAGUAAGUAUGUGUUAUUAAAAAUACAUAUAUAGACUGGAAUGAACAUGUGUAUUAUUCAUAAAUACAUAUGACUCAUAAAUUUAUAUGAACUUCUGCAUAAGAAUACAAUAACUAUGUAUAGUUCAAAAAUAUAUGUGCAAAUCUGUAAAAAUACAUGUGUAUAUAAUCAUAACUGGAAAAUACAUAUGCAUUAGAAAUAAAUACAUAUGCAAAACUGGAUAGAAGAAAAGUUCAUAAAGACAAUUACUAACAUUUACAUAAACUAACCAUGAAAAUAUUGGAGUUUAAAAGAUUAAACAUCAACAAACUUAAUAUAACAGUAAAGAAACAUUAACAUAUCAUCUUUGAACAUUAAAGUAACAUAUGAAACUUAAGAAAUAUUCAAAAAAUUGUUUAUCCACCUAAUGUUAACUGUUGUAAAGUUCAACGAAAUAAAAUACACAUCAAAUAUCAUGCACUUCAGUGUCUUUUGUUAUCCCAAUUUCUCGAGGAUGCCUCAUUGAUGCUUCAUCACCACUUUGUGCCUUCGCUUCUUCUUUUCUCGAACCAUAAUCCCACAAAAGUGAAGCAUAUCUUGUGCGAAUAAGAUUUGUACCAUGUAUAACAUUUACAUGUCAAACAGUGGUACUUAUGUAUUUACAAUAUACAUAUUAUAUUUACAUUGAAACAUACACAUAUACAAACAUUGUCAUCUACUCUUUAUAAACAAAUACAACUGAGCAAAAAAAUAUAAAUAUUAACAGUACAAAUAAGAAAAUACAUAUGUAACAGGUAACAAAUAUAUUUCAUAUGAUUCCAAGCAAACAAAUUACAUAUGUAUUUUAUUUAUACAUAAUUUGUCAAAAAAAUCAUACUUAUCAAUAAAAAAGAAGAACAUAUCAUAGUCAAAUACAUAUCUUAUCAGUAAACAAAAUAAAUAGAUAUCUAACCUGUACCAUGAAUAACAUUUACAUAUCAAAAUAGUGGUACUUAUGUAUUUACAAUAUACAUAUUAUAUUUACAUUGAAACAUAUACAUAUGUAUUUCAUGAAUACAUGAAUGGUCCAGAUUUAACUUACAAAUAAAAUAUACAACUGAACAUCAAUUACAAACCUUAUCAGUAACAAAUAUAAAUAUCUUACACAUACCGUAAAUACAAAAUACAUAUUUAAAAUAUAUUAUACAUAAUAAAAUAUAAUUAUUAUCAGUAACAAAACUAUAUACAAACUAAAAAUCUUAGAUAUAACAUAUGCAUAUCAACGCAUUAGCAACAAAACUAAAAAAUAAGCACUUUAUAAAAUGUAUAUAUAAAAUACAUAUAUGAACAUUUGUCCAGAAACUAUAAAAUUUUACACAUAUCAAAAUACCUCCUCCACUUUCUCUUCUUCAGAUUCAAAAUCAGAUGAAACAGGACUUGCAAUUUUACUAGAUUCCGCUUUUUCUUCUGACUUUCUUUUUUUCAUCAAUUUUUAAAUUUUUGUGGAUUUGGGGGAUGAAGAUUUUGCCAGUGCUUUCCGUUUCAUGAUUUCCACAGUCUUUACUGGAUCGUUACGCUGCUUCGAUCUCAACUCUUCAAUGCUAAAACCUCCCUUCAACUGAACUACUACGAUUUGCAUGUUCUGCCAUUAUAGUGGAACUCUAAAAAUUUCAACACACAAAAAUUAAACAAAAAUAAAAAACCCCAAAAAAUCACCACACAGAAGAAUGUGGAAAAAGUAUGCCCCAGUAAUUUCAACACACAAAAAUAAAAAAAAAAUAAAAACGUUGAAGAAUGUGGAAAAAAAACCAAAAAUAAAUUAGAUAUAAGAACUUAUAUGGAAAAGAAAACAUGCAUUAUCUGUAAAAUCAACUUACCUUAAUAGACGGGGACAAUGUUUAUCAAGAAUUUGAGAGAAAAAAUCCGAAUUUGAAGAAAUAGGUUAGUACUUUAUCAGAAUUUGAAGAAAUAGGCUAGAAAAAAUCUCAAUUUUUUGAAAUUUUCCCAAUUCAAAAUAAAAAAACCCCCAAAUUUUUAAAAUUUUCCCAAUUCAAAACGCAGAAGAUUAUGAAAAAAUAAUGCCAAAAAAAAUUACAAAAAAGAAGUUAUAUGGAAAAGAUAAAAUGCAUUAACUGUAAAAUCAACUUACCUUAAUAGAUGGAAACAACGUUUAUAAAGAAUCAGAGAAAAAAAAAUGGAAUUUGAAAAAAAAAAAUAGCAGAAGAGAGAUAUUGGAGAGAAUUGAAAUUUUUAUGAAUGGCACGAAAAUAGGGUUAUGGGAAGAUAAAGUAGCAUGAAAAGAGGAUAGUGAAAAUAUAUGGGUAAAAGUCACGCGCUUGGUAAUAAAAAAGGUAAAAUAUUGCUAUUUUUCCUAUUAGUUGUAAUUUUGAGAAACUAUUGCUAUUACUUGUAAUUAAUAUCUUAGGUAUGCUAGUUUAUGUAAUUUUUCCAAUUUAUUUCGCAUACCUACCUUGCUUCCCUCGAAAUAAUUUCUUCCAUUUUAAUUUGUUUGACUUUAAGUUGCGUUACUAUUUAAAUAAUUAAAAGAUGUUUUUUAUUUGUAAUUUUUUAAUGCUUUCUAAAUUUUUUAACGACUAACUAGUUUGAUUUAUAGAACUUUUUAUAUAAUUUCUAAAUAUAUUAAAAAAAUUUAUUCCAAAGAGAUGAUUAUAAGUCCGACUUGGAAGAUUUGAAAGCACCCAAAACAAAUUGAAAAGGAUGAAGUAGUACUUCUAUAGUAAGAUGUGUUGAUAACAUAGUAACAUUGAGAAGUGAAAAAGUGCAACUUAUUACUACUAGAACUUAAAAGUGAAUUGCCACUGCUAUUUGGUGAUCAAUAUCAAUAUGAUUGAUUACAAGAACCUUAUGAUCUCUUUGUUAUAAAUGUAUUUACAUUAUAGUGAAUGUCUAUCAAGAUCUACUUUGAUAUCUAUUAGGAUUUGAAGCAUCUGUCUUUUACUCAGAUUAGGAGUGAAUUUUCCUAUAAAUAGAGGGGUUUUGUUCAUUAUAUUUAUAAUAUGAUGAUCUCUCAUCAGAGAUUCCUCAGAAAAUACUCUCUCUAUUCUCUCUACUCUUCUUCUUGUUCUUUAUGAUUUUAUAACACGUUAUCAGCAUGAGACUCUGUCAUCUCAAGAAAGUAUUUCAGCACAAACAGGUCUAUUUCUUUUUCCUUAUUUGUCGAUACUUACUUGUUUUUUUUUAAUUUUAUUUUGUACGUACAAUGGCUAUACAAGGUAAAGUGAAUGGCUUGCAAAUUUUCACGUUCUAAAUUGGUUGGGUUUGAAGAAAAAUCCAAAUGACUUUUUUAUGGAAUAAAAAAAAACUAAUAUAAUGGCCGAAGGUUAUUUUUUUUUAUAAAUUAAAGGGGAAGCCAUAUCACAUAAUCAUGUCAAUAGUGCCUCAAGAUCCCAACUGUUGUAUUGAUGUUAUAAAGUUUACUUUUAAUGUAAUGUUGAUGUUAUAAAGUUUACUUUUAAAGUAAUGUUGAGAUAAUUAAGAUUGUUUUGCUACUAAUGAUAUAAUUAUUGUUGGAUUUGAGGAAAAAUAAUUGGUUUGGAACCAUUUAUGUUUUAAAUUUAUUCCUUAAGAACAGUAUUAUCAAAGGGGAUGAUGAUAUGUUGGGUUCAAGUCCCAUUGAUUUAUGCAUAAGACGCCUUUAUAUGGUAAGACGUUGAGUUUGAAUCCCAAUACACCAUAUUGAUGAUAUUAUGAUGGCUAAGGCAAAAUAAUGAGUAUUUGGUGAAACAUGUCCCAUUAAAUAUGCUUCAUUUUUUGAAUUGAAUGUGGUAGCAAUAAAUCAUAUGUAUACCUCAAUUUGCUUUUGUAGUAGCUAUCAUAAUUUGAUACGCUUAAGGCGUGAUUAUAUUCCAUUCCUGGGAAUGAGAAGUUUAUUAAUGCAAACGUGCACUUGUUGUGAUGGUAUCACAACUCACCUCCGAAAGAGGCUGAAUAAUUGAGAAGAGUUAUUUUGAAAUCUACUUUUAAAAUAGUAAAUCUGAAAUUUAUUCAUGCAAUAGUAAAUCUGAAAUUUACUAAAGUGAAAAAUACAUGUCAUGGUAAAUUUGGAGUUUACUAGAAUAAAAGUUCAUAAAUUGAUAUGAACGAUUGUGACAUCUCGAAGAUGUGCAUGUAUUGAAGAACUAGAAGAUUCUUCAAGAAUUAUUUAUAUCGUUUGUUAUCAUGAUAAGUUGGUUGGACCAACUAAUAUUGGGAUUGGAUCCCUUCAAAUCUGAAAAUUAUAAAAGGUGAAUAAGGGCCCGUUCACCUAUCAUGUGAUAUGUUGAAAAGAUGCAUCAAUAAGAUGAUCACAUGUACAUUCAUUGUCAACUUGCAGUUUGACAUUCAUAAAGUUGCUUGCUCAAUAAAAUUGAGUUAAGAACAUAAUUUUCAAAUUGUGCAAUCAAGAAAGUUAUCUUGAUGAUGAUGGUUUAGCAUUGAAUGCCUUCGAUAAAUAGUUAAAUCAUCGCUAAUGAGAACAAAGCUUCAUGUGUUGGUCUGAGAUAUGAUAUUUUGAAUACAAUAACACUUGUAUGUAUUAGACCAAUAAAUUAUGAUUAUUUCUUCCGUCUCAAUUGGUUCAAGGCCGGGAACCAAUUUUUCCAUCCAAUAAUUUUGAUAUGCGGUAUACGAUUAAUAAAUAUACUAUAAUGCACAAAGAUGGAUUCCUCAAAGAAGUAGAGGAUAUAUGUUAGUUUUCCUAACAUAAGGGGGAAAUUAUAAGCGCUAUGAAAUAUGUUAGAAAUUCACCAGAUCCUCAUCCAAAAGAUAAUUUAAGUCAAAUAUCGAAAGCAUCUCAUAUUAAGCGUAAAUGCUUUUAUUUUGUGUUCCUAAAGGACAAAAUCUAUGCAUGCGUAAAGCGUGGUAGACUAAUCAGAUCCAAAUGAAAUAUUCCUUGAAAAAUGAGUAAAUAAUCAUAAUAAGAAGGCAAUGAGCUCUUAAAGAGUCUACGACAUAACACUUUAUGAAACCUUAUGAGAGGUUCAUGUACCUGAAAAUAAUGAAGUGAUGAGAACUCAAAAUGUNNNNNNNNNNNNNNNNNNNNNNNNNNNNNNNNNNNNNNNNNNNNNNNNNNNNNNNNNNNNNNNNNNNNNNNNNNNNNNNNNNNNNNNNNNNNNNNNNNNNNNNNNNNNNNNNNNNNNNNNNNNNNNNNNNNNNNNNNNNNNNNNNNNNNNNNNNNNNNNNNNNNNNNNNNNNNNNNNNNNNNNAAACUUAUUUAUAAUCCUUAUAUUGUAUAAGCUUAUUGUUUGAACAUCAUUGGAACUCUUGGAGAGUUUUCAAAGCAAUAGAUUAUUUGCUGAAAUUCAAAAUAUAUCGAAUUGGAUUGGUUAUGAAGUACCAUAUCUUAGUGCAAUUAAUGCACUCAUGUGCCUUGCAAAUACUACAAGGCCUAUAGCCUUUUCAGUCAAUUUAUUAACAAGGUAUACUUCUGCUCCUACUAUGAGACAUCAAAAUGGGAUAAAACACAUAAGUUUGUUUUAUUCUAAAGAUUGCAGUCCCGAUCUUAUUGGUCAUGCUGAUGUUGGGUACUUAUCUAACCCGCAUAAAGCUCGGUCUCAAAUAGACUAUGUGUUCAAAUGUGGUGGUACUGUCAUAUCUUGGAGAUAUACAAAGCAGUCUAUCGUAGCCACUUCAUCGAAUCAUGCUGAGAUAAUAGUUAUUCAUGAAGCAAGCCGAGAAUGUGUAUGGUUGACGUCCAUGAUACAUCUCAUUCGAGAAAAAUGUAAUGUAAAAUAUGACAAUCUACCCACAAUUUUAUACAGAGAUAAUUCAGCAUAUAUAGCACAUCUUAAGGGAAGAUUCAUAAAUGGAGAUAGAAAUUCAGCAUACAUAGCACAUCUUAAGGGAAGAUUCAUAAAUGGAGAUAGAAAGAAGCACAUUUUGCCAAAGCUUUUCUACAUACAUGAGCUACAAAAAGAUGAUGAUAUUAAUAUGCAACAGCUUUGUUCAACUGACAAUGUAUCUGAUUUAUUCACCAAAUCUUCUCCAAUUGCAACUUUCAAGAAGAUGUUGCACAAGAUCCACUACCAGAAAUUCGCUAUUUUUCGACAGCUCAUGUAGCCAGAUUGUAGUCGAAAAAUAGGGGGUUUCCGAGUACUUUCCGACUGUUUAGUGGUAGUCGGAAAAAACCUUGUCGGAAAUAUAUUUUCAAUUACUACUGUCGAAAAUUUCCGACUAUAGUAGUCGGAAAUUUAAUAAAAUAAUUAAGAGUAAUUAUUUAAUAAUUCUAACAUUUUCGACUAAUGCAGUCGGAAUAGUAAUUAAUAAUUAUUUAAUAAACAAAAAUUUUUCGACUACUUUAGUCGGAAGAUUAAUAAAUAAUAAUUAUUAUAUUAUCAUUUUUUGAUCAAAAUAGUUGGAAUAUUUUAUUUAUUAAAUAAUUAUUUUGAAAUAGUUAUUAAUAUUAUUUAUUAAAUAAUUAUUAAAUAGUAAUUAUCGCAGAACUAUACCACAAAGAGUAUCACAAUCUCUUCAAAAAAAUAUCUACAGUUUGAAGUAAUUUUGAACCUUUUUUUUGAAUGUUCAUAUAAGAACUCAAAUCCCUAUUUACAUUAACUAUGUAAGAUAAAGAAUUUAAUACAAUUUCUCUUCUAACAAAAUCAUAUAGAGAAUACUCGUUGUCCAGCCAAAUAAAACUAUAUGAAGACAAAGUAAAAGCAUUGUUAAGAAGAAACCAAAUGAAUUUGUGGGCCUUUCUUGAUCUGUUACCCCCAUAUGCAUUGCCUUUCUAUCAUCUUUCUGUCAUCUGCAAUCUGUUGAGUUAAAGCUAUCUGCAAAUUCGGAAGGUUUUGAGGGAAUGCUUGACUGUGUUUGAGUGUAGGAGAAGUCGUGUAUGCUUGACUAUGUUUGAGUGUAGGAGAAGUCGUCGAACAUUCUUGAAGUUCCUUCAUCAGCUUGCCAUCUUUGAAGGAUUUGAGGAAGGUUCAUACGGAGGUCGAUGCCACUGUCUUCGUCUUCAUUUCUCCUAGGCUUCCAUAGGUCUAUGAGGAGGGCAAGUACAAUAACGACAUGUCCCAUAUCAAUGGCCUGUUAACUCGGCGACCUUACAAACGCCCUCGUAUGUUUCCUAGUUGGGAUUGAGUGUUGGGUCAAUAGCCUUUUGGAGGUUGUCUUUGUUGACUAGGACCCUGCGAAGCCAAGAGAUCAAAUGGGACCUCUCAUCUGGCAAGGUCUCGUCUAAUGCUUUUCUACCAGUUAGGAUCUCCAUUAGAACAACUCCAAAUGCAUACACGUCUACCUUAGUCGUGACUCGUCCAGUAGCAGCAUAUUCAGGAGCCAGAUAGUCAAACGUUCCAGCCAGCCAUGUCUCAACAGAAUAUUUCCCAUCGAGAGCAUUCUUGACCAAUCCAAAAUCAGCAACCUUAGCCCUCAUGUCAUUACCAAGAAGUAUGUUAGAGGGCUUCAAAUCCCUAUGGAUAAAACUUGUUUAAGCCAAGCUGUGGAGAUACUCGACUCCUCUUGCAACAUCUAACGCUAUUGUUACCUUUUGCUUCCAGGUCAAAAUUGGGUAGCCGUGUUCUUUCCAUUCAAGCAAAUGCUGAUUUAAAGUUCCCUAUGGCAUGUACUCAUACACCAAAAAUCUCAAAGUAAUUGUGAACAAAAAUAACAUCAAGUUAUAGUAUAUCAUUUCUUUACUAACAGAGUUGCAUACCAGUGAAUUAUAUGAAACAACAAAAAGUCAAAAUCUUCAAAAACAACAAAAUCAACACAGUACUACUUCUGCUUCUAGGCUUUUAAAUACUUAUAAUCCCACUCCCACAACAUAAACGGAGGGCGUACCUAGUAGGCUUUAAAUACUUCUAGGCUUUUAAAUACUUCUAGUCGAUUUAUAAUUUGUAUUUUCUAUUUAAGGAAGUUAAAACAACCAUGAUUAACGGAGGGCGUACCUUGUAAGUAAUCACAACAUCACUGCUCGACUAGUUAAAGACAUUAGCGUCAUAGAACAACCCCGACUUUCCAUCUUCAUCUUCAUUGUCUAGCUCCUAAAACACCAAUAUCGAAACCACUGUUAAGAGUUACUUCAUCAACUAACAAAACUACAAAUCAGUCGAGUACUCGACAAGUUUCACCUUAAGAGGGUGACUGAUAGCCUUAGACGAAACCUCAAAUCCCGAACCACAAUUAACAUUAAACUUUAUAUUUUCUUUCUUAGUUAUCUUCUUUCCAACUGGAGUUACAUACUCUGGCAAACUAUACAAUAUGCUUUAGGUAAAUUGGCCAACGCAAUACAAUAACUUCUGAGACCAUCUCAAAGUAACUGAGAUAUAGGUUCCCCCAUCAAUCUGAAAAGGUAAUUCCAUUAGUAAAAUAAAGAGUGAAGGGUCAAAAACACACCUAAAGUAUCCCGUUUUUCAAGUUUCCUACUUGAACUAUCACCAAAAGUUUUGUCGAAACACACUUCAACUAUCAAUUGUUCACUUUUCCUACCUAAACGACUAUUUUGCGAUAGUUCAGGUAGGAACCUCACAUAAAAAACUGGGAUACCAUAGGUGUAUUUUUUACGCAUAAAUCCAAAAUGAACAAUCACAGACGAAAUAAGAAAGCAAAUUAUAUAGAAGACAAGUUACCUCUGGUAUUGUAAGGGUAAAUAUAUGGGGCUUCAGAAAGAGUCCAUCUUCAAUUUUGGCUAUCGUUUUAGGUUCCUUCUCAUUUUCCUCGGCAACUAGUUUAGUGCUGUAUGAUUUGCUCGGUAACUCAACCUCGACACCUAGAAUUGAACCCUGUUAGCCAAAUAAUGCAGCACUUGAGAAACAAACAAUUAGAAAUAAUGGACUGCAAAUUGAAAAAACGUGUUAAGAGGACAGACAAAUCAAGACCACCUCACUGAUGAAGAAGAUCAACACUAUCACCUUCAUAACAAGGUUUCUUGUUUCAGCAGUCAAUUUUGGCUCUACGAAAACCAGAGUAGUGCAGGCACUUAAAGCAAGCGACUGCAACCCAGAAAAGAAAGAAAAAAUUCAAAAAACAAGAGAAAACUAGAGUAAUUUAGAACAGAAAAGUGAUGUAAUCCUGAUGAAGAUAAGUGAAAUGGCAUUGAGCAGGGAAAUAAUUGCCAAUACAAAAACUUGAGUACGUAGAUGCUCAAUGUUGGAUUCAGAAAAUCCAUCUUCCUCAUCUCUGCCCAUUAAUGUUAAUAUAUAGUCAAGUAACAGGUUUCUUUUUUUCAGCGGGAAUGAUAUACCACUUUCAGAUGCAUUUAUAACUGCCUAACCUAAAGCACAGUGAUACAUAUAUAAAACCCAUUUAGUUUAAUCAUAAGCAAACUACAGAUUCCCCAUUACUCAUAUACUCAACAAUCUCUGCUCUCCGUACGUUUCCUAAUCAUAAGCAAAACCCACAAAAAAAAGAACCCCAAAACCCCAAAAGAACCACUACAAAUGAAACUAAAAACUAAAAAUCUGAACAAGCAUAGCAAAUGAAACAACUCACUACACGUGAAUCUAGAAAAUCAAGCAAAAACCCAUUCUUUUACCCAUCCAAAAAACCAACAAAAUCUAAGCAACUCACCGUCGUCGUUACAAUCACCAUGACCGUCACCGCCAAUUUUUAAGAGAGACACCGUCAAUUUUUGAGAGAGACACCACCAAUUUCUAAGGUUUACAGAGACGACAGUGAGAAUGAGAGAAAGGGUUUAGAGUGAGUGAGAGAAAUUAGAAAGUGAGGGCUAAGGUAUUUAUUUUUUAUCUUAUAAAUAUUAUUUAAAUUAAAUAUAAUUUUCGACUACUUCCGUCAGAAAUAUCUUUAUUAUAUUUAUUAAAUUAUUAAUUUUCUGUAUAAAGUCAUAUAUUUCCCACUACAUUGGUCGGAAAUAUAUUUAAUAAUUUACUUCUUCGAUUAUUUAUAUUUCCCACUACAUCGAUCGGAAAUGUAUUGGUAAUAAUUUAUUUAAAUAAAUAUUUAAUUUCUGUAUAAGGGUAUGAUUAUAUAUUUAGUCAUAUAUUUAUUUAGCUAUUAGUAUUUCCAACUAUAUUGGUUGAAAAUAUAUAAUUAAUAAUUUAUUUAUUUUAUUAUUUAUAUUUUCGACUAAAGUGGUUGGAAAUAUAUUUAAUAAUUUACUUCUUCAAUUAUUUAUAUUUCCGACUACAUCGGUCGGAAAUGUAUUGGUAAUAAUUUAUUUAAAUAAAUAUUUAAUUUCUGUAUAAGGGUAUGAUUAUAUAUUUAGUCAUAUAUUUAUUUAGCUAUUAGUAUUUCCAACUAUAUUGGUUGAAAAUAUAUAAUUAAUAAUUUAUUUAUUUUAUUAUUUACAUUUCCAACUAAAGUGGUCGAAAAUAAAUUUAAUAAUUUGCUUAUUUGAUUAUUUAUAUUUCUGACUACAUCGGUCGAAAAUGUAUUGGUAAUAAUUUAUUUAAAUAAAUAUUGAAUUUCUGUAUAAGGGUAUGAUUAUAUAUUUAGUCAUGUAUUUAUUUAGCUAUUAUUUCUUAGUAUAGUGGUCGGAAAUAUAUAACUAAUAAUUUAUUUUAUUAUUUACAUUUCCGACUAUAGUGGUUGGAAAUAUAUUUAAUAAUUUACUUAUUUGAUUCUUUAUAUUUACGACUGCAUCGGACGGAAAUGUAUUGGUAAUAUUUUAUUUAAAUAAUUAUUUAAUUUAUGUAUAAGGGUAUGAUUAUAUAUUUAGUCAUAUAUUUAUUUAGCUAUUAGUAUUUCCGAUUAUAGUGGUCGGAAAUAUAUAAUUAAUAACUUUUUUAUUUUAUUAUUUACAUUUUCGUCUAAAGUGGUCGGAAAAUCAUUGCUAAUAAUUUAUUUAAAUAAUUAUUUAAUUUUUGUAUAAGGGUCUAAUUAUAUAUUUAAUAAUAUAUUUAUUAUAUUAUUUAUAUUUCCGACUACAACAGUCGGAAUGUAUUUUUUGCGGAAUUUACCGCCAAAUAUUCUGACUAUUGUAGUAAGAAAUAGUGACGGGGAAAUAUUUUAUAAAAUAAAAUAAUAUAAAAGUAAAUUUUUCGACUGAAGUAGUCGUAAAUUUCCGUCUAAAUUUUUUCAGUCGAAAAAUAGUGAAUUUCUGGUAGUGAUCGAGAUGUAAAGGUCAAGGAUGUUCUCAUUAGGGGGAGUUAAUUCGCGAUGUACUCUUUUUCCCUUACAAAGUUUUGUCCCACUGGGUUUUCCUUGUAAGGUUUUUAAUGAAGCAACCGAAAUGCAUAUUAUUAAAGAUAUGUACUCUUUUUCCUUCACUAGAAUUUUUUCCUACUGGGUUUUCUAGUAAGGUUUUAACGAGGCACAUUAUCCACCAAUUAGACAUUUAAGGAGAGUGUUAUAAAUGUAUUUACAUUAUAGUGAAUGUCUAUCAAGAUCUACUUUGAUAUCUAUUAGGAUUUGAAGCAUCUGUCUUUUACUCAGACUAGGAGUAAAUUUCCCCUAUAAAUAGAGGGGUUUUGUUCAUUGUAUUUACAAUUUGAUGAUCUCUCAUCCCUCAGAAAAUAGUCUGUCUAUUCUCUCUGUCCUUCUUCUUGUUCUUUAUUGUUUUAUAACACUCUUAUAUUUAAACAGUAGUUUUUUAUGUUAUAUUUUACUGAUCUUCUGAAAAAUAAAUCAUACAACUAAAAGGACAUUUAUAAUGAAUCAUAAAACCUAUCUCUCUUUUUUAUGCUUGGGUAAAAUGUGUCCAAAGAAUUUUCGAAAAAUUCAAUAAUUUUCCUAGCCAAAUGAAUUGUUAGGAGUUUUGCUCUUACUAUAUUUAAGUUUUACUUUUUUUCUAUUCAAGGAAAAUAAAGUAGUACCAUAAUUACUUUUAUUUUUCCUAAAAGGAAAUAUAUAGCUUUUCCAUCUUUGGCUAACCUCUUUCUUGGAGGAAAGGUUUUGGACAUCUAUAAAUAGAAGACCCCCUUCUUAUACCAUAACACAAUAGCAUCCACAAUUAGUCGUUUAAAGAGUCUCGUUUGGGGGGAGAUUUCUCCCAAUAGAUUUAAUAUUUUUGAUAUUAGGUUUUAUAAUAAGUAGGCCGAUUGGCCAAAAGAUAUAAUAAUUUAAUGCUUUUAGUAUUGUUUUCUUUGUCGUCUGAAUUAUCACCACGAUAGUUUGCAACUAAUAGCUUCCGCAUGACGCCCUCUCGAUUUCGAACCCAAUAAGUGGUAUCAGAGCCUAUGGCUCAAUGAUCCAAUGGUUCAGAUUGAGGAGAUGUUGAGAAUAAAGUUGCAACAAAUUUGAUGAUAAUGAAGAUAUAUGUCCAAAAACUCCAUAUGGAGACGAUUGUCAAUCAUAUUUUCAACAAUCCUACUGUUACAUAUAUGAAAAUAAAGCUCACUUUUAACUCUAUAAAGGGCUCGUAUAUUUUUAACCCGAAAGGGCUCAUAUAUUUUUAACCCCAAAGCUCUAUUUUUAAGAAUGUCAAGCAGCAGUGAUGAAGACUAUAUGAAAAACAGAGAUCAAAGAUGUGAAGAAGCGGAUCAAUUGAAGAAAAUCAAGCUAAAAAUGAGAGAUUUAUUAAGUUUUUGCCCUGAUUUUCUUACUAUAUUUAAGUUUUACUUUUUUUCUAUUGAAGGAAAAUAAAGUAGUACCAUAAUUACUUUUAUUUUCCCUAAAAGGAAAUAUAUAACUUUUCCAUAUUUGGCUAACCUCUUUCUUGGAGGAAAGGUUUUGGACAUCUAUAAAUUGAAGACCCCCUUCUUAUACCAUAACACGAUAACAUCCACAAUGUAGUCGUUUAAAGAGUCUCGUUUAGAGGGAGAUUUCUCCCAAUAGAUUUAAUAUUUUUGAUAUUAGGUUUUAUAAUAAGUAGGCCGAUUGGCCAAAAGAUAUAAUAAUUUAAUGCUUUUAGUAUUGUUUUCUUUGUCGUCUGAGUUAUCACCACGAUAGUUUGCAACUAAUAGCUUCCGCAUGACGCCCUCUCGAUUUCAAACCCAACAAGUGGUACAGAGCCUAUGGCUCAAUGAUCCAAUGGUUCAGAUUGAGGAGAUGUUGAGAACAAAGUUGCAACAAAUUUGAUGAUAAUGAAGAUAUAUGUCCAAAAACUCCAUGUGGAGACUAUUGUCAAUCAUAUUUUCAACAAUCCUACUGUUACAUAUAUGAAAAUAAAGCUCACUUUUAACUCUAUAAAGGGCUCAUAUAUUUUUAACCCGAAAGGGCUCAUAUAUAUUUAACCCAAAAGCUCAAUUUUUAAGAAUGUCAAGUAGCAGUGAUGAAGACUAUAUGAAAAACAGAGAUCAAAGAUGUGAAGAAGGCGGAUCAAUUGAAGAAAAUCAAGCAAAAAGGGGGAGAUUUAUUAGGGUUUUGCCCUAAUUUUUUUACUAUAUUUAAGUUUUACUUUUUUCUAUUGAAGAAAAAUAAAAGUAGUACCAUAAUUACUUUUAUUUUUCCUAAAAGGAAAAUAUAAUUCUUUUUCAUAUUUGGACAUCUAUAAAUAGAAGACCCCCUUCUUAUACCAUAACACGAUAGCAUCCACAAUGUAGUCGUUUAAAGAGUCUCGUUUAGGGGGAGAUUUCUCCAAAUAGAUUUAAUAUUUUUGAUAUUAGGUUUUAUAAUAUGUAGGCCGAUUGGCCAAAAGAUAUAAUAAUUUAAUGCUUUUAGUAUUCUUUUCUUUGUCGUUUGAAUUAUCACCACGAUAGUUUGCAACUAAUAGCUUCCGCAUGACGCCCUCUCAAUUUCGAACCCAACAAGUGGUAUCGGAGCCUAUGGUUCAAUGAUCCGAAGGUUUAGUUUGAGGACAUGUUGAGAACAAAGUUGCAACAAAUUUAAUGAUAAUGAAGAUAUAUGUCCAAAAACUACAUGUGGAGACGAUUGUCAAUCAUAUUUUUAACAAUCCUGCUGUUACAUAUAUGAAAAAAAAGGUUCACUUUUAAUCCUAUAAAGAGCUCAUAUAUUUUUAACCCGAAAGGGCUCAUAUAUUUUUAACCCAAAAACUCUAUUUUUAAGCAUGUCAAGCAGCAGUGAUGAAGACUAUAUGAAAAACAAAGAUCAAAGAUGUGAAAAAAACGGAUCAAUUGAAUAAAAUCAAGCCAAAAAGGGAAGAUUUUUUUAAGGGUUUUGCCCUAAUUUUCUUACUAUAUUAAGUUUUGCUUUUUUCUAUUGAAGAAAAAUAAAAGUAGUACCAUAAUUACUUUUAUUUUUUCUAAAAGGAAAAUAUAAUUUUUUCCAAAUUUGGCUAACCUCUUAUUUGGAGGAAAUGUUUUGGACAUCUAUAAAUUGAAGACCCCCUUCUUAUACCAUAACACAAUAACAUCCAUAAUGUAGUCGUUUAAAGAGUCAGGGGGAGAUUUCUCCCGAUAGAUUUAAUGUUUUUGAUAUUAGAUUUUAUAAUAUUUAGGCCGAUUGGCCAAAACAUAUAAUAAUUUUAUGUCUUUUUAGUAUUAUUUUCUUUGUCGUCUGAUUUAUUGUCUCAAAUAUAUUAAAAAAAUUAUUCCAAAGAGUGAUUAUAAGUCCGACUUGAAAGAUUUGAAAGCACCCAAAACAAAUUGAAAAGGAUGAAAUAGUACUUUUAUAGUAAGAUGUGUUGAUAACAUAGUAACAUUGAGAAAUGAAAAAGUGCAACUUAUUACUACUAGAACUUAAAAGUGAAUUGCCACUGUUAUUUGACGAUUAAUAUCGAUAUGAUUGAUUACAAGAACCUUAUGAUCUCUUAUAUUUAACCAGUAAUUUUUUAUGUUAUAUUUUAUUAAUCUUCUAGAAAAAAUAAAUCAUAUAACUAAACGGACAUUUAUAAUGAAUCAUAAAAAUUAUCUCUCAUUUAUAUGCUUGGGUAAAAUGUGUCCAAAGAAUUUUUGAAAAAGUUAAUAAUUUUCCUAGCCAAAUGGAUAACAAUACUCGAAUUACACCCAAGGCCUUGUAAAAUAUAAUCAUAAUAAUUGUCAAAUCGUUGGUUGAAGGUGUCAUCAAUUCUUGGAUAACAAUUCUCACAAUUAUUGUCAGUUGUUGAAUUUCGGUUUGCCAUCUGGCACAUAAGUGACCAGCCGAAUGGGAAAAAAGAAAUAAAUUAUAAUAGAGUACUAAUUAAUUCCAACAAUUAUAAAAGCAGGACAAGCGUACACUGGAGCAAAAAAAUAUAACUCAUUCCAUUUCAAUUUGUGGCAACUGUUUUUUUUAGUUCGUUUAAAAAAAUAUCUCAAUAUAUUCAAUUAUUUUUUAUUUAUGAUCAUAAAUUUUAAUAAAAAAUUUAUAAUAUUUAUUUUUUAAAUAUCGUGUUAAAAUUAGACAAAUAAAUUGAAAUUGGGAGUUAAAAGAUAGUGACUUUCUACCCAUACUACCAAUGAAGCGGACCCCUUAGUAGUAAAGACAAGUGGUCCAUUCACUUUAAAGAUAUGUCAAUACAAUUAAAAAUAUUAAAAAGGAAGUUUCUUUAUUUGUCAUAAAUCAACAAGCUUUCUGCACUGUAUCAAAAAGAAAAUAGAAAGGCGUUAUAUUAAACACAAAAAACUUUAAUCCUUUCCAACUAGAAAUAUCAUAAAGAAAAAGGAAAAAAAAGUUUCAGGAGGAGAAAAGUCACUGUAUUCCUUCUUCUUUUCUUGUUAGUACUUAUAUUGUGAAAAUGGGUGCUUUUUUCUCUAAACAGGUGGAAAGAAGAAAAGCAAUCCGUACUCAGAAAAAACUUCUUUGUGAUCUCAAGGACAAAGGUAGCGCAGAUUUCCCUGGUUGUGAUCAUUUCGUAGAUGAUAGGAAAAAUUGGAUGUCAACACUUGCCCUCGAUAAACUGCAUGUGAACCAGAUAGUUUGGCCCGGUACCCAUGAUUCAGCAACUAACAAAAUAGGGAUCCCAUUUAUUUCUCGACCUUUUGCCCGAACACAAUCACUGUCCAUUUACAAACAGCUGGUAAUGUUAAAUUACGCGAUCAUCUCAUUAAUUAUGUAAUCUUUGUUUACUAUGAAUGAUAUCAUGCUAGAUUACAUGACAUUCGAGAACACUUUUAUUUAUUUAAUUAUUAUACAUUUUCCACAGGUCAUGGGCACCCGUGUUCUUGACAUCAGAGUUCAAAAAGAUGGUCGUGUGUGUCAUGGUAUCCUAGUUUCUUGUAACGUUGAUGUUGUCAUCAACGAUGUCAAGAAAUUCCUGUCGGAGACACAAUCGGAGAUCAUCAUUCUCGAGAUCCGAACAGAGUUCGGACACGAUGAUCCACCUGAUUUCGACAAGUAUUUGGAGAAUCAGUUGGGUGAAUAUCUAAUCCACCAAGACGACUCUGUAUUCAACAAAACAGUGGCAGAGUUAUUGCCAAAGAGAGUAAUCUGUGUGUGGAAGCCAAGAAAAUCACCUCAGCCAAAACAUGGAAGUCCAUUAUGGAGUGCAGGGUAUUUAAAGGACAAUUGGGUUGACACUGAUUUGCCUGAAACUAAAUUCGAAAGCAACAUGAAGCAUUUGUCUGAGCAGCCACCGGUGACAACCCGGAAAUAUUUUUACAGAG
This 20866-nucleotide long non-coding RNA is filed under the name Capsicum annuum. Its description in RNAcentral is "long non-coding RNA (CANN_LNC013317)". Lineage: Eukaryota; Viridiplantae; Streptophyta; Magnoliopsida; Solanales; Solanaceae. The record is from RNAcentral.